CAGCAUUGAAUGGUUGGCAAACAAUGGAAAUUUCAUUUUCAUUUUUGGAUCAGUCUGCUUGAUGAAUUUAAACCUAGUGAUUAUGUUUGCUCAUCUGCUUCUCCAAGUUAGCUUUAGUGUGAAGACCUGAACUCGUGGAAUCAUGAUAUGCCACAGAGAGGAUCCAGAGAGCCCAUCUUCAGUCAGUUAUCUGUAUUUGCAUGUCAACUACAGCAUCAAGAAGCAUAGGCAUGGAUACUAAGGACCCCCUCUGUACACCAAAGCCAGUCCAAAGGACAGUGUGUCACUGUGAACUGUAAAUUCAUCUCUCUUCUUCAUCUUUUUUCUACCUACUUUAUGCUUUAUCUCUAAGUUGAGGCUGUUUAUGGCCUCAUCCUCAAUUACCUUGUCCCUCGUUACUCCCAGUUAAUGGAGAUUAAGCUUUGUAUCAUGACUUCCUAACUAAAACUGAAAUCACAAGACAUCACAUAAAUAAAGUG
RNAcentral lists this long non-coding RNA (479 nucleotides) under Pongo abelii (Sumatran orangutan). RNAcentral's name for it is "lincRNA". Lineage: Eukaryota; Metazoa; Chordata; Mammalia; Primates; Hominidae. The record is from RNAcentral.